GUAGGGAAUAUUGGACAAUGGGGGCAACCCUGAUCCAGCGACACCGCGUGAGUGAUGAAGGCCUUCGGGUCGUAAAGCUCUGUUGCAGGGGAAGAACACAAUGACGGUACCCUGCUAGAAAGGAUCGGCUAACUUCGUGCCAGCAGCCGCGGUAAGACGAGGGAUCCUAGCGUUGUUCGGAAUUAUUGGGCGUAAAGCGGGUGCAGGUGGCUUGGUAAGUCAGAUGUGAAAGCCUGGGGCUUAACCCCAGAAGUGCAUUUGAUACUGCUGAGCUUGAGUGCUGGAGAGGCUAUUAGAAUUCCUGGUGUAGUGGUGAAAUACGUAGAUAUCAGGAGGAAUACCGGAGGCGAAGGCGGAUAGCUGGCCAGACACUGACACUCAGACCCGAAAGCGUGGGGAUCAAACAGGAUUAGAUACCCUGGUAGUCC
Molecule: ribosomal RNA, 428 nt
Filed under: uncultured bacterium
Lineage: Bacteria
Description: partial 16S ribosomal RNA
Rfam family: Bacterial small subunit ribosomal RNA
Source: RNAcentral